Molecule: long non-coding RNA, 1308 nt
Organism: Ictalurus punctatus (channel catfish)
Lineage: Eukaryota; Metazoa; Chordata; Actinopteri; Siluriformes; Ictaluridae
Source: Ensembl
CUAAUUUCAUAUUUAAUUUUGAGGACCCGCACACACACACACACACACCACACACACACACAUACACACACAAGAAGAUAUAAUAUCUGCUUCUACAUCUUGUCACGUUAGCAUCGCCAGUAAAUUAAGCAUAAAACUGGUGUUUAUAUACCCUGAAUAUAUAUUUUUAUUUACUUACUGCAAUGCUAAUUUGUGGCGUAUUGUUUACUAUAAUGCUAGUUCAAGUGUUAGCUUCUUUACUAUAAUGCUAGUUAAAAUGUUAGCUUCUUUACUAUAAUGCUAGUUAUAGUGUUGACUUCUUUACUAUAAUGCUAGUUCAAGUGUUAGCUUCUUUACUAUAAUGCUAGUUAAAAUGUUAGCUUCUUUACUAUAAUGCUAGUUAUAGUGUUGACUUCUUUACUAUAAUGCUAGUUCAAGUGUUAAUCUGUUUACUAUAAUGCUAGUUCGUGUUAGCUUCUUUACUAUAAUGCUAGUUAUAGUGUUGGCUUCUUUACUAUAAUGCUAGUUCAAGUGUUAAUCUGUUUACUAUAAUGCUAUUCAGUGUUAGCUUCUUUACUAUAAUGCUAGUUCAAGUGUUAGCUUCUUUACUAUAAUGCUAGUUCAAAUGUUAGCUUCUUUACUAUAAUGCUAGUUCAGUGUUAGCUUCUUUACUAUAAUGCUAGUUCAAGUGUUAGCUUCUUUACUAUAAUGCUAGUUCAAAUGUUAGCUUCUUUACUAUAAUGCUAGUUCAAGUGUUAGCCUCUUUACUAUAAUGCUAGUUCAAGUGUUAAUCUGUUUACUUCACUGCUAGUUGAAGUGUUAGCUUCUUUACCAUAAUGCUAGUUCAAGUGUUAAAGAGCUAACUGUAAUGCUAGUUCAAGUGUUACUGAUUGCUAUAAUGCUAGUUAAUGGGUUAAAAUGAUAUCCACCGUGCUAGUUACUGUGUUAGCUAUUUCAGGAUUAUGCUAGUUCAGGUGUUAGCCUGAGGAGAAUAGCGCUCAGCAACAGGUUCAAAUCAUUACUAUAAUGCUAAUUACCGUGUUAGCUAGUUCAUGAUUUCGCGUGAACGUGUUUAACCCGUUCUGUACAGCGCUAGUUUGUGGGUUAGCCUGUAACCAGUUUGAUCAUAGCCUACUACAAAGAUGAAUCGCUUCUAUGUUUUGAUAAACAUUUGAUCUAGUUAGCUUAUUGUCAUUAAAAGGAGACAGGAAUAUCAACAUUUACCUCAGAUAUGUUGGGAGGAAGGAUACACUUUAAUCACACUUAGCAUCGACUGCGAACUGGAUUCCUGCGAGUGAUCACCUAGGUAACUCGUGUUUUUAAACCACG